RNAcentral lists this ribosomal RNA (347 nucleotides) under Meimuna opalifera. Its description in RNAcentral is "partial 12S ribosomal RNA". Lineage: Eukaryota; Metazoa; Arthropoda; Insecta; Hemiptera; Cicadidae. The record is from RNAcentral.
UUGAAAGUGUAAAUAAAUAUUGGCUUGAUUAUUAUUAGAUAUGAUCUUUAAAUUCAAAGAAUUUGGCGGUAAUAUAUCUUUUCAGAGGAAUCUGUUAUAUAAUUGAUAAUCCACGAUAGAUUAAACUUUAUUAUGAUUUGUAUACCGCUGUCAAGAAUGUUCUCUUAGGAAAAAAUUUUCUUUUAUUUUAUAAAUAAAAUGUCAGGUCAAGGUGCAGUUUAUUAUAAAGAAUAAAUGGAUUACUAUUAUCAUAUGUUUUGAAAAUUUUAAUAUAUUAAAGUUAAGAAAUUGGAUUUGAUAAUAAAUUAAUUAAAUUUAAUUAAUUGAAAUAAGUUCUAUAUUAUGUA